This 483-nucleotide ribosomal RNA is filed under the name uncultured bacterium. Its description in RNAcentral is "partial 16S ribosomal RNA". It matches the Rfam family "Bacterial small subunit ribosomal RNA", at positions 28 to 507 of the family's 1533-position model. The record is from RNAcentral.
GACGAACGCUGGCGGCGUGCUUAACACAUGCAAGUCGAACGCUGAAGCUCAGCUUUUGUUGGGUGGAUGAGUGGCGAACGGGUGAGUAACACGUGAGUAACCUGCCUCCUUCUUUGGGAUAACGCCCGGAAACGGGUGCUAAUACUGGAUAUUCACUGGUCUUCGCAUGGGGGUUGGUGGAAAGGGUUUUUCUGGUGGGGGAUGGGCUCGCGGCCUAUCAGCUUGUUGGUGGGGUGAUGGCCUACCAAGGCUUUGACGGGUAGCCGGCCUGAGAGGGUGACCGGUCACAUUGGGACUGAGAUACGGCCCAGACUCCUACGGGAGGCAGCAGUGGGGAAUAUUGCGCAAUGGGCGCAAGCCUGAUGCAGCGCCGCCGCGUGAGGGAUGGAGGCCUUCGGGUUGUGAACCUCUUUCGCUCAUGGUCAAGCCGCAACAAUGGUUGUGGUGAGGGUAGUGGGUAAAGAAGCGCCGGCUAACUACGUG